GAUGAAGAACGUAGCGAAAUGCGAUAAGUAAUGUGAAUUGCAGAAUUCAGUGAAUCAUCGAAUCUUUGAACGCACAUUGCGCCCGCCAGUAUUCUGGUGGGCAUGCCUGUCCGAGCGUCAUUUCAACCCUCGAACCCCUCCGGGGGGUCGGCGUUGGGGAUCGGCCCCUCACCGGGCCGCCCCCGAAAUCCAGUGGCGGUCUCGCCGCAGCCUCUCCUGCGCAGUAGUUUGCACACUCGCACCGGGAGCGCGGCGCGGCCACAGCCGUAAAACACCCCAAACUCUGAAAUGUUGACCUCGGAUCAGGUAGGAAUACCCGCUGAACUUAAGCAUAUCAAUAAGCGGAGGA
RNAcentral lists this unclassified non-coding RNA (349 nucleotides) under soil metagenome. RNAcentral's name for it is "partial contains 5.8S ribosomal RNA, internal transcribed spacer 2, and large subunit ribosomal RNA". The stretch from base 1 to 120 matches the Rfam family "5.8S ribosomal RNA", at positions 35 to 154 of the family's 154-position model. The record is from RNAcentral.